CUACGGGUGGCUCCAGUGAGGAAUAUUGCACAAUGGGGGGAACCCUGAUGCAGUAACGCCGCGUGGAGGAUGACGCAUUUCGGUGCGUAAACUCCUUUUAUAUGUCAAGAAAAUGACGGUAGCAUAUGAAUAAGCACCGGCUAACUCCGUGCCAGCAGCCGCGGUAAUACGGAGGGUGCAAGCGUUACUCGGAAUCACUGGGCGUAAAGGACGCGUAGGCGGGUUGGAAAGUCAGGUGUGAAAUCCUACAGCUUAACUGUAGAACUGCACUUGAAACUUCUAAUCUAGAGUAUGGGAGGGGGAGAUGGAAUUAGUGGUGUAGGGGUAAAAUCCGUAGAUAUCACUAGGAAUACCUAAAGCGAAGGCGAUCUCCUGGAACAUUACUGACGCUAAGGCGUGAAAGCGUGGGGAGCAAACAGGAUUAGAUACCCCGGUAGUC
RNAcentral lists this ribosomal RNA (439 nucleotides) under uncultured bacterium. RNAcentral describes it as "partial 16S ribosomal RNA". It matches the Rfam family "Bacterial small subunit ribosomal RNA", at positions 339 to 795 of the family's 1533-position model. The record is from RNAcentral.